GACGAACGCUGGCGGCGUGCCUAAUACAUGCAAGUAGAACGCUGAAGAGAGGAGCUUGCUCUUCUUGGAUGAGUUGCGAACGGGUGAGUAACGCGUAGGUAACCUGCCUUGUAGCGGGGGAUAACUAUUGGAAACGAUAGCUAAUACCGCAUAACAAUGGAUGACACAUGUCAUUUAUUUGAAAGGGGCAAUUGCUCCACUACAAGAUGGACCUGCGUUGUAUUAGCUAGUAGGUGAGGUAAUGGCUCACCUAGGCGACGAUACAUAGCCGACCUGAGAGGGUGAUCGGCCACACUGGGACUGAGACACGGCCCAGACUCCUACGGGAGGCAGCAGUAGGGAAUCUUCGGCAAUGGGGGCAACCCUGACCGAGCAACGCCGCGUGAGUGAAGAAGGUUUUCGGAUCGUAAAGCUCUGUUGUAAGUCGAGAACGGGUGUGAGAGUGGAAAGUUCACACUGUGACGGUAGCUUACCAGAAAGGGACGGCUAACUACGU
This 496-nucleotide ribosomal RNA is filed under the name uncultured bacterium. RNAcentral's name for it is "partial 16S ribosomal RNA". It matches the Rfam family "Bacterial small subunit ribosomal RNA", at positions 28 to 506 of the family's 1533-position model. The record is from RNAcentral.